This 510-nucleotide ribosomal RNA is filed under the name uncultured bacterium. RNAcentral describes it as "SSU rRNA". It matches the Rfam family "Bacterial small subunit ribosomal RNA", at positions 26 to 523 of the family's 1533-position model. The record is from RNAcentral.
AGGACGAACGCUGGCGGCGCGCUUAACACAUGCAAGUCGAGCGAGAACCGGUCCUUCGGGACUGGGGAAAGCGGCGAACGGGUGAGUAACACGUGGGUAAUCAACCCUUGGUACCGGGAUAGCCCGAGGAAACUCGGAUUAAUACCGGAUGGCCCAACAGCUCUUCGGGGCGGUUGGAAAAGGUAGCUUCGGCCUCCGACCAAGGACGAGCCCGCGGCGGAUUAGCUUGUUGGUGAGGUAACGGCUCACCAAGGCGACGAUCCGUAGCUGGUCUGAGAGGACGAUCAGCCACACUGGGACUGAGACACGGCCCAGACUCCUACGGGAGGCAGCAGUGGGGAAUCUUGCACAAUGGGCGAAAGCCUGAUGCAGCGACGCCGCGUGAGGGAAGAAGGCUUUCGGGUUGUAAACCUCUUUCAGGAGGGACGAAGCUACUCGGGUUAAUAGCCCAGAGGGUGACGGUACCUUCAGAAGAACGCCCGGCUAACUACGUGCCAGCAGCCGCGGUAA